This 1640-nucleotide long non-coding RNA is filed under the name Triticum aestivum (bread wheat). RNAcentral describes it as "long non-coding RNA (TAES_LNC015185)". The record is from RNAcentral. Lineage: Eukaryota; Viridiplantae; Streptophyta; Magnoliopsida; Poales; Poaceae.
UUGCUUAGACUGGGUUGCGUGGUGGAGACUGGAGAGUGGAGAUGACUGGGCUGAACAAAGAAAAAUGCGUGGGUGUGACCUUAUGAGAUCAAAGUAUUCGCCAUCACAACAUGACAGGUAUGUGGACACUUCAGGCUCUAGCUUGAUCUUAAGGUGCCAUAUUUUGAAGGAAAAGUAAACGCCAGUUAAUACAAAUCAUGUUAAGUUUUUGUUGAUAUUAUACACUGCUGUAAAGUGUUCUUUUGAUCAGACUGUUGGUAGAGGGCAACAACCAUGGGACGGAGGGAGUACUUCUCAUGAGGCUAUAACUCUGUAGCUGAUCUGAUUGCUUUUACUUCUGUAUAUGCACUUCACUAUGUAAUCUCACGAACUUCUGUUAUUUCCUUUCCUGUAUUGGCUACAGCUCGACCCUUGCUGAUCUAGAAAGAAAGCCUUGUACCUAUUGUCGGUCCUGCUCCUGUCUCUCUGUCCGAAGAAAUCUAUUAAUUUUUUCUAUAUGGAUGAACCUUUUUUUUAUUUGCGGGGUUUUGCAGCCUAUAGAAUUAUUUUCGUACGGAUCCAUUUGCACAAUUAGUUUACACUAUUGCUUUGUGCAUUGAGUGCAACCGCUUCGGAAUAUUCCUUUACUUUAGCUUUUCAAUACUGUUGAAUUUUAAAGGGAUUUCAAUUAAAGUGACAUAAUACUAGAAAUAUAUGUGUUUUUCUUUCCGUGCUUUGACUGAGUGCAUCCCUGUAGGCAUAGAAGACUAUCUUGUGGCCUCACUCUGGAAAUCUGUUUCUUUAGACAUGGUUGUGAUUUUUUGUCAUAUCACGGAAAUUCAGAUGCCAUUUAAAACCCUAGCUUGAUAGGAAAGAAGUUACAAAACAUAGUAUGGAUAGUAGUUAAUUCAAACCAGGUUGUGGAUAAAACUAUCGCAACUGAAUUUGCUGUUUUGUUUCAUGAGCUGCGCUCUGAAUCUGGACCUAAAACUUCACAAGAUGAUAAACCCUUGUGAGAACAAGAGAAUAACAAGACGGGAAUGCAUCACCUACUAACUUUGUGUCUAUUCACUGGAGUUAUGCCGCUCAUAAAUUCAGGAAAAUAACAGAUACAGGUCGCCGGAGUCGAGAAUAUAUAAGACACAGAGAAGAUUAGUGUACUUGUGUAGUGUGGAAGCCUCUUGAUGCGGACUAUGUGAAAAUCAAUGUUGAUGCUAGUUUUCAACAAGUUGGCUAUGAGGCUACUACAGGGUGUCUGAUGACGGAUGGAAAUGGAAGACUGAAGACUGCUGCCAAUGUCUUUGCGAUGUGGUGUUCAGAUAGAGGUUGAUGUAAAAAUGACCGAGGUAAUGCUUGAGAGUGAUGCCCGUGUCCCUUUGGACUUAUGGAGCAAUGAUGGUGAUGACAUAUGGGAAGUUGCACAGUCCUGAAGGAAGUUGAGGACCUCAGCAGUAGCAGGUUUACUGGUUUUCAGUUCAGUUUUGUUCAUAGGGCAGCUAAUGUAGCAGCCCAUUUACAUGUGAAAAAGAAUGAUUCUGCUUUUUUUAAGGGAAAGCCUUCAUGUCGCACUUUAUUGCAACUUAAAUACAGAUAGAUCGUUUACAUCCGGAACGAUAAAACUAGGGGGUCAUUGUCCCAAAAUAUAGAAGAGUUCAAAAAAG